Molecule: long non-coding RNA, 826 nt
Organism: Siniperca chuatsi (mandarin fish)
Lineage: Eukaryota; Metazoa; Chordata; Actinopteri; Centrarchiformes; Sinipercidae
Exons: 2
Source: RefSeq, a predicted model, not a curated record
UUCGCCAUUUGUGGAUUAUGGCUCUCACUGUGGUUCGCUGGAGUCCCAAAGAUUUAGAAAUGGCUUUAUAACCUUUCCCUGUCGUGGUUAGUCACCAUGCUGGGUGAUCCCUGCAGUAUUCUGUGCAGUUUUCCCUCUCCCUGUGUGUGUCCUCCGUUUGUCUGUAGCAUAUCUGUGUGCUCCGGCUCCCCGGGCUUCCACCUGCUGCUGAUCACCGGCGCACCUGUCAUCAAUCAUCAUCAGUCUCCACAGCAUAAAGACCGCUCUUCCUCAUCUCCAGUGCCAGAUUGUCUCCGUAUACCUACAUCCCUCUCGCCGGUGAUCACAGCCACGUCACCUCACAGAUCUCUGCCAACCUGUUCGCCCGUCCUGUUCCUGCUCAUCCAGCUAACCAGCGGUCUCCCUGCUCAGCCAGCUAACCAGCAGUCUCCCUGCUCUGCCAACUAACCAGCGGUCUCCCUGCUCAGUCAGCUGACCAGCGGUCUCCCGGCUCUGCCAGUUAGUCAGCCGUCUCCCUGCUCAGUCAGCUAACCAGCGGUCUCCUAGCUCCUCCGGUGAAAACCCUGUGCCACUCGGAGCCAACUCACGCCAUUCUACGGAGCCGUUGCUGGCCUCACAUUGCCAUCCUCUGUUCUUGGUUCCGUGCAGUUUCGUCCAGGAGUGAGUUCACCGCUUUCCCAAGAGCUGUAGUUCCUGGAGUGAGUUCACCGCUUUUCCAAGAGCUGUAGUGGACAGCUCUUAUUCCACCCUCGAGAAAAGACUUUUCUUUUUCUUUUCUAGCUUUUGCACUAACAUCUGUGUGAAUAAAAAUGAACUUAUCUCCUCA